GCCGCUUUAGCUCAGUUGGUAGAGCAGCUGCCUUGUAAACAGCAGGUCAUCCGUUCGAUUCGGAUAAGCGGCACCA
This 76-nucleotide transfer RNA is filed under the name Lysobacteraceae bacterium. RNAcentral describes it as "Xanthomonadaceae bacterium (terrestrial metagenome) tRNA-Thr". It matches the Rfam family "tRNA". Rfam says of the family: Transfer RNA (tRNA) molecules are approximately 80 nucleotides in length. Their secondary structure includes four short double-helical elements and three loops (D, anti-codon, and T loops). The record is from RNAcentral. RNAcentral also lists the same sequence under 1 other name. Lineage: Bacteria; Pseudomonadati; Pseudomonadota; Gammaproteobacteria; Lysobacterales; Lysobacteraceae.